GGGGAUGUACAGGCUUUGAUUGAUACUUUUCCUUAUGAAUGCAAGCAGAAGCGUACCACUUCUAUAAAAGGUACAAAACUAUAAAUGCCGAUCAAAUGGCAGAUGCUUUCGUAGGCGUUCCAGCCUUCGCAAGUGUUGCAGCCUAAUAUUAGGGUGCAAGAUCUAACCGCUUCUACCCGGAGGGGUUGCUAGGUCUUAUAAAACCGGGGUGCGAAACAUAAGUUGUGGCAUAGCUUUUGUUUUUAAGUGGAAUAACCACACAAAUUUUGCCUGCUUACAGGAUUAGGUCGCCAAAAACCUUGCCUGUAUUAAGAUAAUUUUUGGCUAAGCUUGUAGUGUUUAUACUGAGAACGGUACCAAGACGCGGGUUCGAUUCCCGCCAUCUCCACCA
Molecule: transfer-messenger RNA, 391 nt
Filed under: Patescibacteria group
Lineage: Bacteria
Also listed under: 9 other names
Description: OXYB2-FULL-41-6 sp001773215 Standard tmRNA
Rfam family: transfer-messenger RNA
About the family: Bacterial tmRNA, also known as 10Sa RNA or SsrA, is named for its dual tRNA and mRNA-like properties. Its role is to liberate the mRNA from a stalled ribosome.
Source: RNAcentral